This 245-nucleotide ribosomal RNA is filed under the name uncultured bacterium. Its description in RNAcentral is "partial 16S ribosomal RNA". It matches the Rfam family "Bacterial small subunit ribosomal RNA", at positions 333 to 570 of the family's 1533-position model. The record is from RNAcentral.
UGUAACCUACGGGGCGCAGCAGUAGGGAAUCUUCCACAAUGGACGAAAGUCUGAUGGAGCAACGCCGCGUGAGUGAAGAAGGGUUUCGGCUCGUAAAGCUCUGUUGGUAGUGAAGAAAGAUAGAGGUAGUAACUGGCCUUUAUUUGACGGUAAUUACUUAGAAAGUCACGGCUAACUACGUGCCAGCAGCCGCGGUAAUACGUAAGUGGCAAGCGUUUUCCGGAUUUAUUUGGCGUAAAGCGAGU